This 70-nucleotide transfer RNA is filed under the name Loxodonta africana (African savanna elephant). It matches the Rfam family "tRNA". Rfam says of the family: Transfer RNA (tRNA) molecules are approximately 80 nucleotides in length. Their secondary structure includes four short double-helical elements and three loops (D, anti-codon, and T loops). The record is from Rfam by way of RNAcentral. Lineage: Eukaryota; Metazoa; Chordata; Mammalia; Proboscidea; Elephantidae.
UCUGAAUGGUGCAAAUAGUUAACACAUUCAACUGCUAACUGAAAGGCUGGAGGUUCGAUUCCUCUCAGAA